AUAAACGAGUUAGUCAAGGUUAUUGAGAAGUCAGACAUGACAAAGUCAAUCAAAGCAUUAAAGAGGCCUUUUAGAGUGAUACCAAAAGCAAAUCAGUGAGGGCUUUAUCCCAAGUGGACAAUAUCUUACCAGUGUGAAGAUCUAUGUUUGUGUGUUAAACCUCACUACAAAUGGUAUCAGAGCCCAUGGUUCAGGUCUGGUUGAUGAGUCGAUAUUUUAUUGAUUUCACUUAGUUUAUUGUGCUAGAAUUAAUUAGGGAAAUAUGCUUAAUGGUAUCAGUAGUCACCUUAAAGGCAUUCACUCUCUCGGUAUUUUUAAGAAAGGGGCAGCCACACAUUCAUUUUGGACUCUCUCGGCUGCUGCAAUAUUUUUGAAAGGGGAGGAUUUUGAACGUUUUUUUUGUGAGCUUUUAUUUGAAUCAUGUGGAUAUUCUUGGAUUUUGGAUAAAAAGAUGGUGCCAGCCACCCCUUUCUUUUUGGGUAUUUUGAACAUUUUUUUUACACNGUUAUUUUGCUUGGAACCAUGUUUUUUGUUUUUCUUUUUUAUUUUGGAUGAAUGAAAGAAGAUUGUUUUUAUUCUUCAAGAAGCAGAGCGCUGAUUUCUCAUUGCCUUUGCAUUUGUUUUUUUUUCUUACGCCUUUUUAUUGAAGCUUUGGUGCAGCCGUCACGUUUAGAGAAGAUUUUUAAUUUUUUUCUUAGCUUUGCUUGGUCCAACAAAUGGCGUCACAUCAUCCUGCAAUGGUAGCUAGGGGUUUAGUUUUUGCUUCUAGGUUUGAACUAAAGAAAAAGGAGUUUUACAAUGUUUUUGUCUAAAGCUUCAUUGAAUGAACGGUGCAGUACGNUGACACCAUGGCUUUGGGAUAGGAUUUGGUUUCAAUCAACAAAUUUCAUUUUUCUUUUUAUUAGUUAACAUGCACUCGGUGAUUAAUUAUUGAAGAUUGCCUUUCUUUUCCUUUAAGAUUGAAGAGUGAUUUGAUGGAGUAAGUGUAGGUGUUUGGUGCUGGGAUUUAAUUUUUAUGCCAUUUAUUUAUUUCUUCCAAAAGUAGUCCACGGUUUGCUUCAUUAAUUU
This 1068-nucleotide long non-coding RNA is filed under the name Vigna radiata. RNAcentral's name for it is "long non-coding RNA (VRAD_LNC015148)". Lineage: Eukaryota; Viridiplantae; Streptophyta; Magnoliopsida; Fabales; Fabaceae. The record is from RNAcentral.